This 386-nucleotide ribosomal RNA is filed under the name uncultured bacterium. RNAcentral describes it as "bacterial SSU rRNA". It matches the Rfam family "Bacterial small subunit ribosomal RNA", at positions 28 to 414 of the family's 1533-position model. The record is from RNAcentral.
GACGAACGCUGGCGGCGUGCUUAACACAUGCAAGUCGAGCGGUAAGGCCCUUUCGGGGUACGACGAGCGGCGAACGGGUGAGUAACACGUGGGUGACCUGCCCUCAGCUCUGGGAUAAGCCUGGGAAACCGGGGUCUAAUACUGGAUAUGACUCCAUGACGCAUGUUGUGGGGUGGAAAGCCUUGUGCGGCUGAGGAUGGGCCCGCGGCCUAUCAGCUUGUUGGUGGGGUGAUGGCCUACCAAGGCGACGACGGUAGCCGGCCUGAGAGGGCGACCGGCCACACUGGGACUGAGACACGGCCCAGACUCCUACGGGAGGCAGCAGUGGGGAAUCUUGCGCAAUGGGCGAAAGCCUGACGCAGCGACGCCCGCGUGAGGGAUGACGG